This is a regulatory RNA element of Arthrobacter woluwensis, 59 nucleotides long. It matches the Rfam family "msiK RNA". Lineage: Bacteria; Bacillati; Actinomycetota; Actinomycetes; Micrococcales; Micrococcaceae. The record is from Rfam.
AAUACACACCAUUCACUACGGAUCGUUCGGCACGUACCUGCCGAUGAAGGGACACGAUA